CGUUGAUUUCACACUGCCGAGAAAAGCCUCUAGAUAGAAAAUAGGUGCCCGUACCGCAAACCGACACAGGUAGUCAAGAUGAGAAUUCUAAGGUGAGCGAGCGAACUCUCGUUAAGGAACUCGGCAAAAUGACCCCGUAACUUCGGGAGAAGGGGUGCUCUUUAGGGUUAACGCCCAGAAGAGCCGCAGUGAAUAGGCCCAAGCGACUGUUUAUCAAAAACACAGGUCUCUGCUAAACCGUAAGGUGAUGUAUAGGGGCUGACGCCUGCCCGGUGCUGGAAGGUUAAGAGGAGUGGUUAGCUUCUGCGAAGCUACGAAUCGAAGCCCCAGUAAACGGCGGCCGUAACUAUAACGGUCCUAAGGUAGCGAAAUUCCUUGUCGGGUAAGUUCCGACCCGCACGAAAGGCGUAACGAUUUGGGCACUGUCUCAACGAGAGACUCGGUGAAAUCAUAGUACCUGUGAAGAUGCAGGUUACCCGCGACAGGACGGAAAGACCCCGUGGAGCUUUACUGUAGCCUGAUAUUGAAAUUCGGCACAGCUUGUACAGGAUAGGUAGGAGCCUUUGAAACGUGAGCGCUAGCUUACGUGGAGGCGCUGGUGGGAUACUACCCUAGCUGUGUUGGCUUUCUAACCCGCACCACUUAUCGUGGUGGGAGACAGUGUCAGGCGGGCAGUUUGACUGGGGCGG
RNAcentral lists this ribosomal RNA (689 nucleotides) under Staphylococcus aureus. RNAcentral describes it as "partial 23S ribosomal RNA". It matches the Rfam family "Bacterial large subunit ribosomal RNA", at positions 1592 to 2282 of the family's 2925-position model. The record is from RNAcentral. Lineage: Bacteria; Bacillati; Bacillota; Bacilli; Caryophanales; Staphylococcaceae.